This 350-nucleotide ribosomal RNA is filed under the name uncultured bacterium. Its description in RNAcentral is "partial 16S ribosomal RNA". It matches the Rfam family "Bacterial small subunit ribosomal RNA", at positions 338 to 699 of the family's 1533-position model. The record is from RNAcentral.
CCUACGGGUGGCAGCAGUCGAGAAUCAUUCACAAUGGGGGAAACCCUGAUGGUGCGACGCCGCGUGGGGGAAUGCAGGUCUUCGGAUUGUAAACUCCUGUCGUGUGGGAGCAAAUUAAAAAGAGAGUACCACAAGAGGAAGAGACGGCUAACUCUGUACCAGCAGCCGCGGUAAUACAGAGGUCUCAAGCGUUGUACGGAAUCACUGGGCGUAAAGCGUGCGUAGGCUGUUUCGUAAGUCGGGUGUGAAAGGCGCGGGCUCAAACCGCGGACGGCACAGAAUACUGCGAGACUAGAGUAAUGGAGGGGGAGGCGGAAUUCACGGUGUAGCAGUGAAAUGCGUAGAUAUCG